UAGGGAAUUUUCGGCAAUGGGGGGAACCCUGACCGAGCAAUGCCGCGUGAGUGAAGAAGGAUUUCGGUUCGUAAAGCUCUGUUGUAAGUAAAAAAUGACCUUCGUAGGAAAUGACGAAGGAGUGAUGGUAGCUUACCAGAAAGUCACGGCUAACUACGUGCCAGCAGCCGCGGUAAUACGUAGGUGGCAAGCGUUAUCCGGAAUGAUUGGGCGUAAAGGGUGCGUAGGUGGCACAAUAAGUUGAAAGUUAAAGUCCGUGGCUUAACCACGGAUUGCUUUCAAAACUGUUGAGCUAGAGUGCAGAAGAGGCAAGUGGAAUUCCAUGUGGAGCGGUAAAAUGCGUAGAUAUAUGGAGGAACACCAGUGGCGAAGGCGGCUUGCUGGUCUGUAACUGACACUGAGGCACGAAAGCGUGGGGAGCAAAUA
RNAcentral lists this ribosomal RNA (426 nucleotides) under uncultured bacterium. RNAcentral describes it as "bacterial SSU rRNA". It matches the Rfam family "Bacterial small subunit ribosomal RNA", at positions 355 to 774 of the family's 1533-position model. The record is from RNAcentral.